Molecule: ribosomal RNA, 429 nt
Filed under: Bacteroidota bacterium
Lineage: Bacteria; Pseudomonadati; Bacteroidota
Description: Bacteroidetes bacterium partial 16S ribosomal RNA
Rfam family: Bacterial small subunit ribosomal RNA
Source: RNAcentral
UAGGGAAUCUUCGGCAAUGGGGGGAACCCUGACCGAGCAACGCCGCGUGAGUGAAGAAGGUUUUCGGAUCGUAAAGCUCUGUUGUUAAGGAAGAACGAGUGUGAGAAUGGAAAGUUCAUGCUGUGACGGUACUUAACCAGAAAGGGACGGCUAACUACGUGCCAGCAGCCGCGGUAAUACGUAGGUCCCGAGCGUUGUCCGGAUUUAUUGGGCGUAAAGCGAGCGCGGGCGGUUAGAUAAGUGUGAAGUUAAAGGCAGUGGCUCAACCAUUGUAGGCUUUGGAAACUGUUUAACUUGAGUGCAGAGGGGGAGAGUGGAAUUCCGUGUGUAGCGAUGAAAUGCGUAGAUGUAUGGAGGAACACCGGUAGCGAGUGCGGCUAUCUGGUCUGUAACUGACGCUGAGGCUCGAAAGCGUGGGGAGCGAACAGA